RNAcentral lists this long non-coding RNA (639 nucleotides) under Calidris pugnax (ruff). RNAcentral describes it as "lncRNA (ENSCPUG00000006890.1)". Lineage: Eukaryota; Metazoa; Chordata; Aves; Charadriiformes; Scolopacidae. The record is from RNAcentral.
AUCAAGAGGAAGACAGCCUUAAACAAAACAUAGUCAAACAGCAGACUUGCUGUCAACUCCAGCACGUUACUAAGCUCUGAGGGCUCAGGAGAAACUAGCAUGAAGUGACAUGGAAAUGCUGUUUGACACACUCCAGGAGGAGGACUUCAGGCUUCGACGAGGGGGACGGUACCUCAGCAGCCCAAGGGGGAACAGGGAGCCCAUCCUGAGAGAGAGAGCAGGACCCUGAAAGCGAUAGAGAAUUUGACCAAGCUGGAAGAGCUGCUGAAUGCUGAGGCACAUGGGACCUGUUGCAGAGUGACUGAGCAGCACCCGUGUUUCACAGACGCAGGCCAGGGACACCUUACAAGGCAGCACCAUAUUCAAGUGCCCUCAUUCCUCCUCGGCCACCUGAGACUCAGGCUGACACAGAGAAAACAGAACGAGCCACUUCCUGAAGGCAGAGAUGGGAGAGGUGGCUGUGAUCACUGGGUCUUGGCUCUCCACCCCAAAAGGUCUGUCCUGCUGCCAGCAACUGCACAUUGCUUGCUGUUCCUUGGCUUGUGUGAACACUCGGUAAGCUCCACCCUCAGAGCAAGCCUGAAUUGCUGAGGAUUUCCUGGAAAUAAAGCAAAAGCUAAAAGCUGAAUACGGAUACUG